GCUGCAGUGAAACCUCGGAGUUUCUGUCAGACUGCUGGAUGAAAUUGCAGCUUCCUUGCUCGUGUGUGCUCCGGCUCCCUUUCAGCUCCACGCAAGCAGCCUGCCCUGCAGAGAGCUUGGCCCAGCUAUCCUUGCUGAAGUUGGAUACUGAAGUCCUACAAAUGCAGAGUCAAAAGACAGCAAGAGAAAGGAUGAGCAGUGUAGUGUCUCCUGCGGAGAAUUCUACAGCAGAGCCCCCAUCAAGAGCUCCCAAGCAUCUGCUUUGCUGGCAAGCAACAAGUCUCCAGCAGCUCAGUAGAGUUUGCUGCGUAAUUUUCUUUUGGCCAUAAUGUUUCUGUGGUGUGCAACAUUGCCCACUAACUCUUUUUGUGUCAUUGAACAGCAAGAAGUGGAUAACAACCAUCUUCUUUUUCACUUUUCCUCUCUACUAAUGGGCAAGAAGACUUGGACUAUCUGUGAGGCAGCUUGUUUUCAGCCACAAGAGGAAGCAGAAGGAACGGUCUUAUACUCUAAAACGGGAACAGGGAACAUAUAUAUAGCCAACCCCUACCACCCACUAUAGACAAUUUGUGCAUAUAAAAGCAUAUUGCUGAAGAAAUACCCCAAGACCACUUUUUAAAUGAAAACAUGUGAGUUCAGAAAUUGUAACUCUUUUCUUCCACUCUUUGUUUGCCACAUAACUGUGUAUACCACCACUGACAUUUCCUCACUAUCUGCAAGUAGAUUUGCAUGCAGAGCACUUUUUAAAUUGAGGUUUCAGAUUAAUAUCACAGGAAAUUUAAAUUUUUAGAUCUGAACAAUAAAUCAGAUUGGAGGCAGUGCAUGAAAAAACCUAAAACUUCAGCAACUGGCAAAACACAAUUCUACUCAAGAAGGAAAUUUUCCCAUAAGGUACCUAGCCAAAUUUUUAAUGACAUCAGUAGAUGAAGGGAAGAACCUUGCAAUUCAUCACAUCAUUAUCACAUACAUAUCUGACAGCAUGUAUGCAGACAGACAUGCUAUAUAUGUUGUUCAAAACCAAUGUUUUCUGUUCAAUUUUGUUCUUUUCUCCAAGAAAAAGAAACUUUAAAAUAUGUGAUACCUGAUACAAAUUCAAAUUCUAAAUAGUUUUAGUUAGUAAAAAUCAUCCAAAGCCAAUAAAAACCAUUAACUGUUUUCCUCCCUAAAAAUAAUAAGCAAUCUAUUAAUAUUUGGUACAGUACAAAGUAAAUAUCUGUUUUCUUUUAAAUAUUAGAAGGAUAUCCAAAUCUCUGAAGACUUCUUUUUUAAAGAUGGUGGCUACUGUAAUUCUGAUUUUUUUCACCACUUCUUAUAGUUUAUUAGAGACAUACAGAGUUUCCCCUUUUUUCAUCAUCAGCAUGACAGUGAGCUGCAACAUGAACAAUUCACACUCCUAGCUGUGGCUGUAAACAGAGAAUGCUGUUGGCAGUGACUAACAUGACCUGAGGAGAACGCUUGUACUCUCGAUAAAAAGGAUUCUCCCCCAUCCUUUGCCUCAGGAGGAAAAUUGAAACAUGACCCUGAUGGAGUGUAAGCAGUGAGAGGUCCUCAUGCAAGUGGUUGUUUUAAGAAGAAAUGAAAUCAUGUGAAAGUGGUUGAUUGCAAUGAACAUUUCGUUAAUCUAGAACUUGCUUUUAGUGCUCAGUACCAUGGCAAGUUUGAUACUUCCAUUCACUUUAAGAAAUGUAAACAUAGAGAUGUAAAUUUUCACUCUUGCAUUCUACAUUUUGAUUAACACCUGCCUGUAUUUUUUGUACUGAAAGUUCCCUGGUUUUAUUCUCACUGAAAAUUACGAAGUUCAAUAAAUUAUCUAAAACAACAUAGAAGUUCA
Pipra filicauda (Wire-tailed manakin) is the source of this 1831-nucleotide long non-coding RNA. RefSeq lists it as uncharacterized. The record is from RefSeq and is a predicted model, not a curated record. The transcript is spliced from 2 exons. Lineage: Eukaryota; Metazoa; Chordata; Aves; Passeriformes; Pipridae.